AGCAGCCGCGGUAAUUCCAGCUCCAAUAGCGUAUAUUAAAGUUGCUGCAGUUAAAAAGCUCGUAGUUGAAUUUCGGGAUCAAUAUGUUGGUCGUGCCUCGGUACGUACUAGCUUAUUGGUUUCUUCCUUCUGACGAACCAUAAUGUCAUUUAUUUGGUGUUAUGGGGAAUCAGGACUGUUACUUUGAAAAAAUUAGNGUGUUUAAAGCGGGCUCACGCUUGAAUACAUUAGCAUGGAAUAAUGAAAUAGGACGUUUGAUUCUAUUUUGUUGGUUUCUAGGAUCGACGUAAUGAUUAAUAGGGAUAGUUGGGGGCAUUAGUAUUCAAUUGUCAGAGGUGAAAUUCUUGGAUUUAUUGAAGACUAACUACUGCGAAAGCAUUUGCCAAGGAUGUUUUCAUUAAUCAAGAACGAAAGUUAGGGGAUCGAAGACGAUCAGAUACCGUCGUAGUCUUAACCAUAAACUAUGCCGACUAGGGAUCGGAUGAUGUUAAUUUUUUUAAUGACUCAUUCGGCGCCUUAC
RNAcentral lists this unclassified non-coding RNA (520 nucleotides) under uncultured Entrophospora. RNAcentral's name for it is "SSU rRNA". It matches the Rfam family "Eukaryotic small subunit ribosomal RNA", at positions 569 to 1091 of the family's 1831-position model. The record is from RNAcentral. Lineage: Eukaryota; Fungi; Glomeromycota; Glomeromycetes; Entrophosporales; Entrophosporaceae.